CGGCAGCCUAACACAUGCAAGUCGNGGCGGUAACAGGAAAGCGCUUGCGCUUUUGCUGACGAGCGGCGGACGGGUGAGUAAUGUCUGGGGAUCUGCCCGAGGGCGGGGGAUAACCACUGGAAACGGUGGCUAAUACCGCAUAAUGUCGCAAGACCAAAGUGGGGGACCUGAAAGGGCCUCACGCCGUCGGAUGAACCCAGAUGGGAUUAGCUGGUAGGUAGGGUAAUGGCCUACCUAGGCGACGAUCCCUAGCUGGUCUGAGAGGAUGACCAGCCACACUGGGACUGAGACACGGCCCAGACUCCUACGGGAGGCAGCAGUGGGGAAUAUUGCACAAUGGGCGCAAGCCUGAUGCAGCCAUGCCGCGUGUAUGAAGAAGGCCUUCGGGUUGUAAAGUACUUUCAGCGGGGAGGAAGGCCAUGCCGCGUGUAUGAAGAAGGCCUUCGGGUUGUAAAGUACUUUCAGCGGGGAGGAAGGGUUGAGCCUGAACAGGGCUGGGCCUUGACGUUACCCGCAGAAGAAGCACCGGCUAACUCCGUGCCAGCAGCCGCGGUAAUACGGAGGGUGCGAGCGUUAAUCGGAAUGACUGGGCGUAAAGCGCACGCAGGCGGUCAAUUAAGUUAGAUGUGAAAUCCCCGGGCUCAACCUGGGAACGGCAUCUAAGACUGGUUGACUGGAGUCUCGUAGAGGGGGGUAGAAUUCCAUGUGUAGCGGUGAAAUGCGUAGAGAUGUGGAGGAAUACCGGUGGCGAAGGCGGCCCCCUGGACGAAGACUGACGCUCAGGUGCGAAAGCGUGGGGAGCAAACAGGAUUAGAUACCCUGGUAGUCCACGCUGUAAACGAUGUCGAUUUGGAGGUUGUGGCCCUGAGCUGUGGCUUCCGAAGCUAACGCGUUAAAUCGACCGCCUGGGGAGUACGGCCGCAAGGUUAAAACUCAAAUGAAUUGACGGGGGCCCGCACAAGCGGUGGAGCAUGUGGUUUAAUUCGAUGCAACGCGAAGAACCUUACCUACUCUUGACAUCCUCAGAAUUUGCUGGAGACAGCGAAGUGCCUUCGGGAACUGAGAGACAGGUGCUGCAUGGCUGUCGUCAGCUCGUGUUGUGAAAUGUUGGGUUAAGUCCCGCAACGAGCGCAACCCUUAUCCUUUGUUGCCAGCGCGUGAUGGUGGGAACUCAAAGGAGACUGCCGGUGAUAAACCGGAGGAAGGUGGGGAUGACGUCAAGUCAUCAUGGCCCUUACGAGUAGGGCUACACACGUGCUACAAUGGCGGAUACAAAGUGAAGCGACCUCGCGAGAGCAAGCGGAACACACAAAGUCUGUCGUAGUCCGGAUUGGAGUCUGCAACUCGACUCCAUGAAGUCGGAAUCGCUAGUAAUCGUAGAUCAGCAUGCUACGGUGAAUACGUUCCCGGGCCUUGUACACACCGCCCGUCACACCAUGGGAGUGGGUUGCAAAAGAAGUCGGUAGCUUAACCUUUUUGGAAGGGCGCCUAACCACCUUGUGUGGGCUCAUGAACUGGGGGGUGAAAAGUCGUAACAGGG
Molecule: ribosomal RNA, 1540 nt
Filed under: Photorhabdus luminescens
Lineage: Bacteria; Pseudomonadati; Pseudomonadota; Gammaproteobacteria; Enterobacterales; Morganellaceae
Description: bacterial SSU rRNA
Rfam family: Bacterial small subunit ribosomal RNA
Source: RNAcentral